RNAcentral lists this non-coding RNA (45 nucleotides) under Schistosoma curassoni. Lineage: Eukaryota; Metazoa; Platyhelminthes; Trematoda; Strigeidida; Schistosomatidae. The record is from RNAcentral.
AUCCAGCUGAUGAGUACGUAAUAGGACGAAACACGCGUCCUACAU